RNAcentral lists this ribosomal RNA (1970 nucleotides) under human gut metagenome. Its description in RNAcentral is "bacterial LSU rRNA". It matches the Rfam family "Bacterial large subunit ribosomal RNA", at positions 1 to 1985 of the family's 2925-position model. The record is from RNAcentral.
GUAAAUAAUUAAGGGCGUAUGGUGGAUGCCUAGGCUCUCAGAGGCGAUGAAGGACGUGAUAAGCUGCGAAAAGCUCCGUUUAGGUGCAAAUAACCUUUGAUGCGGAGAUCUCCGAAUGGGAUAACCCAAUAUGUUGAAGACAUAUUAUACCGUAAGGUAGGCAAACGCAGGGAACUGAAACAUCUAAGUACCUGCAGGAGAAGAAAACAAACGUGAUUCCCCCAGUAGCGGCGAGCGACCGGGGAUAAGCCCAAACCGUUAUUGUUUCGGCAGUAGCGGGGUAGUAGGACUGCGACAUUGAUGAAAUAAAUGAAAUGGAACACCUUGGAAAAUGUGAUCACAGAGGGUGAUAAUCCCGUACAUGCAAGUUUAUGAAUCAUAGCAGUAUCCUGAGUAAGUCGGGACACGUGUAAUCCUGACCGAAUCCGCCGGGACCAUCCGGCAAGGCUAAAUACUCCUGAGAGACCGAUAGUGAACCAGUACCGUGAGGGAAAGGUGAAAAGCACUUCGAACAGAAGAGUGAAAUAGUCCCUGAACCCAUACGCCUACAAGCAGUCGGAGCCGCUUCGUGCGGUGACGGCGUGCCUUUUGCAUAAUGAGCCUACGAGUUACUCAUCACCAGCGAGGUUAAGUACUUCAGGUACGUAAGCCGAAGCGAAAGCGAGUCUGAAUAGGGCGUCAAGUUGGUGGUGGUAGACGCGAAACCUUAGUGAUCUACCCAUGGGCAGGGUGAAGGUUUGGUAACACAAACUGGAGGCCCGAACCGGUAAACGUUGAAAAGUUUUCGGAUGACCUGUGGGUAGGGGUGAAAGGCCAAUCAAACUGGGAAAUAGCUCGUACUCUCCGAAAUGCAUUUAGGUGCAGCCUCUGUUGUUUUGUUCUAGAGGUAGAGCUACUGAUUGGAUGCGAGGGCUUCACCGCCUAUCAAAUCCGGCCAAACUCCGAAUGCUAGAACAUGAAGACAGGGAGUGAGCCAGCGGGUGCUAAGGUCCGUUGACGAAAGAGGGAGAACUCAGACCAUCAGCUAAGGUCCCCAAUUGUAUGCUAAGUUGGAAUUAAAACGGGGUGGGACUGCUUAGACAGCUAGGAUGUUGGCUUGGAAGCAGCCAUUCAUUUAAAGAGUGCGUAACAGCUCACUAGUCGAGCGGUCCUGCAUGGAUAAUACGCGGGCAUAAGCAUAUAACCGAAGCUAUGGGAUUGUAGAUGAUACAAUCGGUAGGAGAGCAUUCCAUUCAGCGUAGAAGCAGUAUCGUGAGGUAUUGUGGAGCGGAUGGAAAAGCAAAUGUAGGCAUAAGUAACGAUAAUGCGGGUGAGAACCCCGCACGCCGAAAGAUCAAGGAUUCCCCGGCAAUGUCAAUCAUCCGGGGGUAAGUCGGAUCCUAAGGGUAAGCCGAGUGGCGAUCCCGAUGGCAAACAGGUUAAUAUUCCUGUACUGAUCAUAACUGCGAUGCAGCGACGCAGAGGUGACACUGCUGCGUACUGACGGAAUAGUACGUUGAAACCCGUAUUCUUUGAUACCGGUAGUGAAGCACGCCGGUAGAGAUGAAAGGUGAUAGUACCGCAAUGCUUCGGUUGCGCGGAUAACGCAGGUAAGCUGACUGCCAAGAAAACCUGCUAAGCUUCAGGUAAUGAUCAUCCGUACUGUAAACGGACACACGUGAUCAGGUAGAAAAUACUAAGGCGCUCGAGAGAUUCAUGGUUAAGGAACUAGGCAAAAUGGUCCUGUAACUUCGGGAUAAAGGACGCUCUUGUGAAAGAGCCGCAGAUAAUAGGCCCAGGCGACUGUUUACCAAAAACACAUGGCUAUGCUAAUUCGCAAGAAGAUGUAUAUGGCCUGACACCUGCCCGGUGCCGGAAGGUUAAGAGGAGAGCUCAGAUGUAAGUCGAAGGUUUGAAUUGAAGCCCCGGUAAACGGCGGCCGUAACUAUAACGGUCCUAAGGUAGCGAAAUUCCUUGUCGGGUAAGUUCCG